AGUGAACGCUGGCGGUAGGCCUAACACAUGCAAGUCGAACGGCAGCACAGUAAGAGCUUGCUCUUACGGGUGGCGAGUGGCGGACGGGUGAGGAAUACAUCGGAAUCUACUUUUUCGUGGGGGAUAACGUAGGGAAACUUACGCUAAUACCGCAUACGACCUACGGGUGAAAGCAGGGGAUCUUCGGACCUUGCGCGAUUGAAUGAGCCGAUGUCAGAUUAGCUAGUUGGCGGGGUAAAGGCCCACCAAGGCGACGAUCCGUAGCUGGUCUGAGAGGAUGAUCAGCCACACUGGAACUGAGACACGGUCCAGACUCCUACGGGAGGCAGCAGUGGGGAAUAUUGGACAAUGGACGCAAGCCUGAUCCAGCCAUACCGCGUGGGUGAAGAAGGCCUUCGGGUUGUAAAGCCCUUUUGUUGGGAAAGAAAAGCAGCAGGUUAAUACCCCGCUGUUCUGACGGUACCCAAAGAAUAAACACCGGCUAACUUCGUG
RNAcentral lists this ribosomal RNA (492 nucleotides) under uncultured bacterium. Its description in RNAcentral is "partial 16S ribosomal RNA". It matches the Rfam family "Bacterial small subunit ribosomal RNA", at positions 29 to 507 of the family's 1533-position model. The record is from RNAcentral.